Molecule: ribosomal RNA, 1092 nt
Filed under: Boreoplaca ultrafrigida
Lineage: Eukaryota; Fungi; Ascomycota; Lecanoromycetes; Umbilicariales; Ophioparmaceae
Description: partial small subunit ribosomal RNA
Rfam family: Bacterial small subunit ribosomal RNA
Source: RNAcentral
UAACUUUUUUUUUUCUAGUUAGAAGUGGUGUACAGGUGAGUAAAGGAUAUUAUAACCGCCUUAAAGUAAGGAAUAGAUCCCUUAUAUUAAGAAAGAAAGUUAAAUUUCGCUUUAARAAGUUUGUAUCUCGGAUAGUAGUAGUUAAGGUAAUUGCUUAACUAGCUUAAUAUCCGUAGUCGAGACUGAAAGGUUGAUCGACCACAGUGGGGCUGAAUAAAUCCCAAUAUAUCGGAUACAGCAGUGAGGAAUAUUGGUCAAUAGCCUAACGGCUGAACCAGCAACUUGGAGGAAUGUAUAGCGAAAGCUAAUUGUAUUAACUAAUAGUUAAUGCAAUAUCGAUUAUCUCGACUAAAAUUCUAGGUAGAGUAAUGAUAAUGACAUUUUUUACCUAUAGGUCUUGACCAAAUCACGUGCCAGCAGUCGCGGCAAUACGUGGAAGACUAGUGUUAUUCAUCUUUAAUUGGUUUAAAGGGUACCUAGACGGUAUAUCUAGCCCAAAAAGGGUACUGAUAAACUAGAGUUUAAUGUGAGGGGGGGAGUACUAAUGGAGAGAGAUGAAAUUCUGUCAUACCAAGAGGUAACAGGUAUCGGCGAAAGCAACCCUUUAUGCAAAAACUGACGUUGAAGGACGAAGGCUCGGGUCACAAACAGGAUUAGAUACCCCAGUAGUCUGGGCAGACAACGCUGAAUGCCAUAGAUUAGAUUAUAUUUCUUCUAUAAAUGAAAGUGUAAGCAUUCCACCUCAAGAGUAAUUUGGCCACAUUGAAACUGAAAUCAUUAGACCGUAUCUGAAACCAGUAGUGAAGUAUGUUGUUUAAUUUGUUAGCCCUCAAAAAACCUUACCACAAUUUGAAUAUUUUUAUAUUUCUUUAUAAUUAUACAAGAGUUGCAUGGCUGUCUUCAGUUAAUGUCGUGAGAAUUUGGUUAGUUCCAUAAAAUUAACGUAAACCCUUACUUUAUUUUUUUUUUAUAAAGUUGUUCACCGCUAUAUUGGAUAUGAUAAAAGGGACUAAGACAAGUCAUCAUGGCCUUAAUAUUGUGGGCUAUAGACGUGCCACAUAUGCCUAUGCAAAGGGAUGCGAAGUUGCGAAA